This 581-nucleotide ribosomal RNA is filed under the name Variovorax sp. RDB-092. Its description in RNAcentral is "bacterial SSU rRNA". It matches the Rfam family "Bacterial small subunit ribosomal RNA", at positions 102 to 679 of the family's 1533-position model. Lineage: Bacteria; Pseudomonadati; Pseudomonadota; Betaproteobacteria; Burkholderiales; Comamonadaceae. The record is from RNAcentral. RNAcentral also lists the same sequence under 3 other names.
ACGGGUGAGUAAUACAUCGGAACGUGCCCAAUCGUGGGGGAUAACGCAGCGAAAGCUGUGCUAAUACCGCAUACGAUCUACGGAUGAAAGCAGGGGAUCGCAAGACCUUGCGCGAAUGGAGCGGCCGAUGGCAGAUUAGGUAGUUGGUGAGGUAAAGGCUCACCAAGCCUUCGAUCUGUAGCUGGUCUGAGAGGACGACCAGCCACACUGGGACUGAGACACGGCCCAGACUCCUACGGGAGGCAGCAGUGGGGAAUUUUGGACAAUGGGCGAAAGCCUGAUCCAGCCAUGCCGCGUGCAGGAUGAAGGCCUUCGGGUUGUAAACUGCUUUUGUACGGAACGAAACGGCCUUUUCUAAUAAAGAGGGCUAAUGACGGUACCGUAAGAAUAAGCACCGGCUAACUACGUGCCAGCAGCCGCGGUAAUACGUAGGGUGCAAGCGUUAAUCGGAAUUACUGGGCGUAAAGCGUGCGCAGGCGGUUAUGUAAGACAGUUGUGAAAUCCCCGGGCUCAACCUGGGAACUGCAUCUGUGACUGCAUAGCUAGAGUACGGUAGAGGGGGAUGGAAUUCCGCGUGUAGC